UGAUAGAGUUCUAACGUUGUAUGUAGC
This 27-nucleotide small RNA is filed under the name Bombyx mori (domestic silkworm). RNAcentral's name for it is "ovarian small RNA-8276". The record is from RNAcentral. Lineage: Eukaryota; Metazoa; Arthropoda; Insecta; Lepidoptera; Bombycidae.